CAACCUGCCUUCAGGAUGGGGACAACAGACGGAAACGACUGCUAAUACCGAAUAAGUUCCAAGAGCCGCAUGGCCCAUGGAAGAAAAGGUGGCCUCUACCUGUAAGCUAUCGCCUGAAGAGGGGUUUGCGUCUGAUUAGCUGGUUGGAGGGGUAACGGCCCACCAAGGCGACGAUCAGUAGCCGGUCUGAGAGGAUGAACGGCCACACUGGAACUGAGACACGGUCCAGACUCCUACGGGAGGCAGCAGUGGGGAAUCUUCCGCAAUGGGCGAAAGCCUGACGGAGCAACGCCGCGUGAGUGAUGACGGCCUUCGGGUUGUAAAACUCUGUGAUCCGGGACGAAAAGGCAGAGUGCGAAGAACAAACUGCAUUGACGGUACCGGAAAAGCAAGCCACGGCUAACUACGUGCCAGCAGCCGCGGUAAUACGUAGGUGGCAAGCGUUGUCCGGAAUUAUUGGGCGUAAAGCGCGCGCAGGCGGCUUCCCAAGUCCCUCUUAAAAGUGCGGGGCUUAACCCCGUGAUGGGAAGGAAACUGGGAAGCUGGAGUAUCGGAGAGGAAAGUGGAAUUCCUAGUGUAGCGGUGAAAUGCGUAGAGAUUAGGAAGAACACCGGUGGCGAAGGCGACUUUCUGGACGAAAACUGACGCUGAGGCGCGAAAGCGUGGGGAGCAAACAGGAUUAGAUACCCUGGUAGUCCACGCCGUAAACGAUGGAUACU
Molecule: ribosomal RNA, 719 nt
Filed under: uncultured bacterium
Lineage: Bacteria
Description: bacterial SSU rRNA
Rfam family: Bacterial small subunit ribosomal RNA
Source: RNAcentral